This 402-nucleotide ribosomal RNA is filed under the name Bacteroidota bacterium. Its description in RNAcentral is "Bacteroidetes bacterium partial 16S ribosomal RNA". It matches the Rfam family "Bacterial small subunit ribosomal RNA", at positions 355 to 776 of the family's 1533-position model. The record is from RNAcentral. Lineage: Bacteria; Pseudomonadati; Bacteroidota.
UGGGGAAUUUUGCACAAUGGGGGAAACCCUGAUGCAGCGACGCCGCGUGAUUUAGAAGGCCUUCGGGUUGUAAAAAUCUUUUGUAUAGGAAGAAAAUGACAGUACUAUACGAAUAAGGACCGGCUAAUUACGUGCCAGCAGCCGCGGUAAUACGUAAGGUCCGAGCGUUGUCCGGAAUCAUUGGGCGUAAAGGGUACGUAGGCGGGUAAGCAAGUUAGAAGUGAAAUCCUAUAGCUCAACUAUAGUAAGCUUUUAAAACUGCUCAUCUUGAGGUAUGGAAGGGAAAGUGGAAUUCCUAGUGUAGCGGUGAAAUGCGCAGAUAUUAGGAGGAAUACCGGUGGCGAAGGCGACUUUCUGGCCAUAACCUGACGCUGAUGUGCGAAAGCGUGGGGAUCAAACAGG